CAUAGGUUAAUGAGGCGAACCGGGGGAACUGAAACAUCUAAGUACCCCGAGGAAAAGAAAUCAACCGAGAUUCCCCCAGUAGCGGCGAGCGAACGGGGAGGAGCCCAGAGCCUGAAUCAGUGUGUGUGUUAGUGGAAGCGUCUGGAAAGGCGCGCGAUACAGGGUGACAGCCCCGUACACAAAAAUGCACAUAUUGUGAGCUCGAUGAGUAGGGCGGGACACGUGGUAUCCUGUCUGAAUAUGGGGGGACCAUCCUCCAAGGCUAAAUACUCCUGACUGACCGAUAGUGAACCAGUACCGUGAGGGAAAGGCGAAAAGAACCCCGGCGAGGGGAGUGAAAAAGAACCUGAAACCGUGUACGUACAAGCAGUGGGAGCCUCUUAAUGGGGUGACUGCGUACCUUUUGUAUAAUGGGUCAGCGACUUAUAUUCUGUAGCAAGGUUAACCGAAUAGGGGAGCCGAAGGGAAACCGAGUCUUAACUGGGCGUUAAGUUGCAGGGUAUAGACCCGAAACCCGGUGAUCUAGCCAUGGGCAGGUUGAAGGUUGGGUAACACUAACUGGAGGACCGAACCGACUAAUGUUGAAAAAUUAGCGGAUGACUUGUGGCUGGGGGUGAAAGGCCAAUCAAACCGGGAGAUAGCUGGUUCUCCCCGAAAGCUAUUUAGGUAGCGCCUCGUGAAUUCAUCUCCGGGGGUAGAGCACUGUUUCGGCAAGGGGGUCAUCCCGACUUACCAACCCGAUGCAAACUGCGAAUACCGGAGAAUGUUAUCACGGGAGACACACGGCGGGUGCUAACGUCCGUCGUGAAGAGGGAAACAACCCAGACCGCCAGCUAAGGUCCCAAAGUCAUGGUUAAGUGGGAAACGAUGUGGGAAGGCCCAGACAGCCAGGAUGUUGGCUUAGAAGCAGCCAUCAUUUAAAGAAAGCGUAAUAGCUCACUGGUCGAGUCGGCCUGCGCGGAAGAUGUAACGGGGCUAAACCAUGCACCGAAGCUGCGGCAGCGACACUAUGUGUUGUUGGGUAGGGGAGCGUUCUGUAAGCCUGUGAAGGUGGCCUGUGAGGGUUGCUGGAGGUAUCAGAAGUGCGAAUGCUGACAUAAGUAACGAUAAAGCGGGUGAAAAGCCCGCUCGCCGGAAGACCAAGGGUUCCUGUCCAACGUUAAUCGGGGCAGGGUGAGUCGACCCCUAAGGCGAGGCCGAAAGGCGUAGUCGAUGGGAAACAGGUUAAUAUUCCUGUACUUGGUGUUACUGCGAAGGGGGGACGGAGAAGGCUAUGUUGGCCGGGCGACGGUUGUCCCGGUUUAAGCGUGUAGGCUGGUUUUCCAGGCAAAUCCGGAAAAUCAAGGCUGAGGCGUGAUGACGAGGCACUACGGUGCUGAAGCGACAAAUGCCCUGCUUCCAGGAAAAGCCUCUAAGCAUCAGGUAACAUCAAAUCGUACCCCAAACCGACACAGGUGGUCAGGUAGAGAAUACCAAGGCGCUUGAGAGAACUCGGGUGAAGGAACUAGGCAAAAUGGUGCCGUAACUUCGGGAGAAGGCACGCUGAUAUGUAGGUGAAGCGACUUGCUCGUGGAGCUGAAAUCAGUCGAAGAUACCAGCUGGCUGCAACUGUUUAUUAAAAACACAGCACUGUGCAAACACGAAAGUGGACGUAUACGGUGUGACGCCUGCCCGGUGCCGGAAGGUUAAUUGAUGGGGUUAGCGGUAACGCGAAGCUCUUGAUCGAAGCCCCGGUAAACGGCGGCCGUAACUAUAACGGUCCUAAGGUAGCGAAAUUCCUUGUCGGGUAAGUUCCGACCUGCACGAAUGGCGUAAUGAUGGCCAGGCUGUCUCCACCCGAGACUCAGUGAAAUUGAACUCGCUGUGAAGAUGCAGUGUACCCGCGGCAAGACGGAAAGACCCCGUGAACCUUUACUAUAGCUUGACACUGAACAUUGAGCCUUGAUGUGUAGGAUAGGUGGGAGGCUUUGAAGUGUGGACGCCAGUCUGCAUGGAGCCGACCUUGAAAUACCACCCUUUAAUGUUUGAUGUUCUAACGUGGGCCCCUUACCGGGGUUGCGGACAGUGUCUGGUGGGUAGUUUGACUGGGGCGGUCUCCUCCUAAAGAGUAACGGAGGAGCACGAAGGUUGGCUAAUCCUGGUCGGACAUCAGGAGGUUAGUGCAAUGGCAUAAGCCAGCUUGACUGCGAGCGUGACGGCGCGAGCAGGUGCGAAAGCAGGUCAUAGUGAUCCGGUGGUUCUGAAUGGAAGGGCCAUCGCUCAACGGAUAAAAGGUACUCCGGGGAUAACAGGCUGAUACCGCCCAAGAGUUCAUAUCGACGGCGGUGUUUGGCACCUCGAUGUCGGCUCAUCACAUCCUGGGGCUGAAGUAGGUCCCAAGGGUAUGGCUGUUCGCCAUUUAAAGUGGUACGCGAGCUGGGUUUAGAACGUCGUGAGACAGUUCGGUCCCUAUCUGCCGUGGGCGCUGGAGAACUGAGGGGGGCUGCUCCUAGUACGAGAGGACCGGAGUGGACGCAUCACUGGUGUUCGGGUUGUCAUGCCAAUGGCACUGCCCGGUAGCUAAAUGCGGAAGAGAUAAGUGCUGAAAGCAUCUAAGCACGAAACUUGCCCCGAGAUGAGUUCUCCCUGACUCCUUGAGAGUCCUGAAGGAACGUUGAAGACGACGACGUUGAUAGGCCGGGUGUGUAAGCGCAGCGAUGCGUUGAGCUAACCGGUACUAAUGAACCGUGAGGCUUAACCUUACAACGCCGAAG
RNAcentral lists this ribosomal RNA (2753 nucleotides) under Escherichia coli. RNAcentral's name for it is "partial 23S ribosomal RNA". It matches the Rfam family "Bacterial large subunit ribosomal RNA". Lineage: Bacteria; Pseudomonadati; Pseudomonadota; Gammaproteobacteria; Enterobacterales; Enterobacteriaceae. RNAcentral also lists the same sequence under 2 other names. The record is from RNAcentral.